RNAcentral lists this ribosomal RNA (471 nucleotides) under uncultured bacterium. Its description in RNAcentral is "partial 16S ribosomal RNA". It matches the Rfam family "Bacterial small subunit ribosomal RNA", at positions 329 to 792 of the family's 1533-position model. The record is from RNAcentral.
UUCCAGACUCCUACGGGAGGCAGCAGUGGGGAAUAUUGCGCAAUGGGCGAAAGCCUGACGCAGCGACGCCGCGUGAGGGAUGAAGGUCUUCGGAUCGUAAACCUCUGUCAGCAGGGAAGAACGGUCACUGUGCUAAUCAGCAGUGAAUUGACGGUACCUGCAAAGGAAGCACCGGCUAACUCCGUGCCAGCAGCCGCGGUAAUACGUAGGGGGCAAGCGUUAUCCGGAUUUACUGGGUGUAAAGGGAGCGUAGACGGCCAGACAAGUCUGAAGUGAAAAUCCAGCGCUUAACGCUGGAAGUGCUUUGGAAACUGCCGGGCUGGAGUGCAGGAGGGGCAGGCGGAAUUCCUAGUGUAGCGGUGAAAUGCGUAGAUAUUAGGAGGAACACCAGUGGCGAAGGCGGCCUGCUGGACUGCGACUGACGUUGAGGCUCGAAGGCGUGGGGAGCAAACAGGAUUAGAUACCCUGGUA